CCUACGGGAGGCUGCAGUGAGGAAUAUUGGUCAAUGGGCGAGAGCCUGAACCAGCCAAGUCGCGUGAAGGAUGACUGUCUUAUGGAUUGUAAACUUCUUUUAUACGGGAAUAACAAGAGCCACGUGUGGCUCCCUGCAUGUACCGUAUGAAUAAGCAUCGGCUAACUCCGUGCCAGCAGCCGCGGUAAUACGGAGGAUGCGAGCGUUAUCCGGAUUUAUUGGGUUUAAAGGGUGCGUAGGCGGCCUGUUAAGUCAGCGGUGAAAUCUAGGAGCUUAACUCCUAAAUUGCCAUUGAUACUGGCGGGCUUGAGUGUAGAUGAGGUAGGCGGAAUGCGUGGUGUAGCGGUGGAAUGCAUAGAUAUCACGCAGAACUCCGAUUGCGAAGGCAGCUUACUAAGGUACAACUGACGCUGAAGCACGAAAGCGUGGGUAUCAAACAG
Molecule: ribosomal RNA, 440 nt
Filed under: uncultured bacterium
Lineage: Bacteria
Description: bacterial SSU rRNA
Rfam family: Bacterial small subunit ribosomal RNA
Source: RNAcentral